GCGUGAGAGUGGCUUCCGGAGCUAACGCGUUAAAUCGACCGCUGGGGAGUACGGCCGCAAGGUUAAAACUCAAAUGAAUUGACGGGGGCCCGCACAGCGGUGGAGCAUGUGGUUUAAUUCGAUGCAACGCGAAGAACCUUACCUACUCUUGACAUCCAGAGAAUUUAGCAGAGAUGCUUUAGUGCCUUCGGGAACUCUGAGACAGGUGCUGCAUGGCUGUCGUCAGCUCGUGUUGUGAAAUGUUGGGUUAAGUCCCGCAACGAGCGCAACCCUUAUCCUUUGUUGCCAGCACAUUAUGGUGGGAACUCAAAGGAGACUGCCGGUGAUAAACCGGAGGAAGGUGGGGAUGACGUUAAGUCAUCAUGGCCCUUACGAGUAGGGCUACACACGUGCUACAAUGGCGUAUACAAAGAGAAGCGACCUCGCGAGAGCAAGCGGAACUCAUAAAGUACGUCGUAGUCCGGAUUGGAGUCUGCAACUCGACUCCAUGAAGUCGGAAUCGCUAGUAAUCGUAGAUCAGAAUGCUACGGUGAAUACGUUCCCGGGCCUCGUACACACCGCCCGUCACACCAUGGGAGUGGGUUGCAAAAGAAGUAGGUAGCUUAACCUUCGGGAGGGCGCUUACCACUUUGUGAUUCAUGACUGGGGUGAAGUCGUAACAAGGUAACCA
Molecule: ribosomal RNA, 670 nt
Filed under: uncultured Providencia sp.
Lineage: Bacteria; Pseudomonadati; Pseudomonadota; Gammaproteobacteria; Enterobacterales; Morganellaceae
Description: bacterial SSU rRNA
Rfam family: Bacterial small subunit ribosomal RNA
Source: RNAcentral